AACGAACGCUGGCGGCAUGCCUAACACAUGCAAGUCGAACGAGACCUUCGGGUCUAGUGGCGCACGGGUGCGUAACGCGUGGGAACCUGCCCUUAGGUUCGGAAUCACUCCCCGAAAGGGGUGCUAAUACAGGUUGAGGUCUUCGGACCAAAGAUUUUUCGCCUUUGGAUGGGCCCGCGUUGGCUUAGCUGGUUGGUAGGGUAAAAGCAUACCAAGGCGACGAUCCUUAGCUGGUGUGUGAGGAUGAUCAGCCACACUGGCACUGAGACACGGCCCAGACUGCUACGGGAGGCAGCAGUGGGGAAUAUUGGACGAGGGGCGAUGGCCUGAUCCAGCAAUGCCGCGUGAGUGAUGAAGGCCGUAGGGUUGUAAAGCUCUUUUACCCGAGAUGAUAAUGACAGUACCGGGAGAAUAAGCUCCGGCUAACUCCGUG
This 433-nucleotide ribosomal RNA is filed under the name uncultured bacterium. Its description in RNAcentral is "partial 16S ribosomal RNA". It matches the Rfam family "Bacterial small subunit ribosomal RNA", at positions 29 to 507 of the family's 1533-position model. The record is from RNAcentral.